GUCUAUGGCCAUGCCCCCCUGAACAAGCCUGAUGUCUGAUCUUGGAAGCUAAGCAGAGUCUAGCCUGGUUGGUUAGUACUUGGACGGGAGACCACCUAGGAUGACCAGGUUGCUGUAGUCA
RNAcentral lists this ribosomal RNA (121 nucleotides) under Pteropus alecto (black flying fox). The record is from RNAcentral. Lineage: Eukaryota; Metazoa; Chordata; Mammalia; Chiroptera; Pteropodidae.